CGGUGAUUGAGAAAGGAAAGAAUGGAAGUUGUAGACGAUAGGUAGUGUUCAGCAAGGUCAUCUUCACUGACAGGAGCAAAAGGUGGUACUGUGGUGGUCAAAUUGCAAACCAUGUUCCUGAAGGCAGUUGUAUAUGUGGAUAAAGCAAUAAUCAGAAGCAGUAAAUCUUCAAGCCAUCACUUUUAUUGUCUCCAAUAUGUGUGACUUAAACAGCAGACAGGCAAGUCACGGGAUUCAGCUUAUCUUAACCUAAUUAUUCUCUAUCAGGUAUUUACUGACCACCUGCCAUGUGCGAAAUGCUCUUCCAUGAGUGAGAAUCCAUGGUGAUUGUGACAUGUGGUGCAUCUUUAAUCUGCGGUCCCAAAAGCCUCUAAAGAGGGCGUUGGGCUGAAACCCAAGUGAUGAACCAGCCUCAGAAACUCUAGCCCUUGGCAGGAGAAAAGGAGGGAGAACAGUAAGCAGGAUUGACUGCAGUGGAGAUGAUGUCCUUCCAAGAACCUUUGAAGAAAUUGAGGCACAGAGAAAUGUAUGGACCUACUAGAGCUCCCAGGAGGAAAACUGGGAGCUCAGCCGACAAAAGGACAAACACGAGAGAAAUGAGGUGGGAGAGGACAGAGGAAGUGACUCCUGGUUGCUGUGACUAUCGCUGGGCACCUGUAGUUACCAGCUCCUGGCUCUCCAGCUCAUGGACACAUCUACCCUCCUCCAGACUCCUCUUCCAGCCGGGAUAACCACACAAUAACCAACACACAACAAGCAUGUACUAUGUCCCAGGUACUGUUAUUAAUUUCAUUGAAUUCUUACAAUCAUCCUAUGAAGGAGGUCUUAU
Molecule: long non-coding RNA, 829 nt
Filed under: Fukomys damarensis (Damara mole-rat)
Lineage: Eukaryota; Metazoa; Chordata; Mammalia; Rodentia; Bathyergidae
Description: lncRNA (ENSFDAG00000025725.1)
Source: RNAcentral